Molecule: transfer RNA, 85 nt
Filed under: Woronichinia naegeliana WA131
Lineage: Bacteria; Bacillati; Cyanobacteriota; Cyanophyceae; Synechococcales; Coelosphaeriaceae
Also listed under: 1 other name
Description: tRNA-Ser
Rfam family: tRNA
About the family: Transfer RNA (tRNA) molecules are approximately 80 nucleotides in length. Their secondary structure includes four short double-helical elements and three loops (D, anti-codon, and T loops). Further hydrogen bonds mediate the characteristic L-shaped molecular structure. tRNAs have two regions of fundamental functional importance: the anti-codon, which is responsible for specific mRNA codon recognition, and the 3' end, to which the tRNAs corresponding amino acid is attached (by aminoacyl-tRNA synthetases). tRNAs cope with the degeneracy of the genetic code in two manners: having more than one tRNA (with a specific anti-codon) for a particular amino acid; and 'wobble' base-pairing, i.e. permitting non-standard base-pairing at the 3rd anti-codon position.
Source: RNAcentral
GGAGAGGUGGCAGAGCGGUUGAAUGCGGCAGACUCGAAAUCUGUUUUAGGGCGACCUAACGGGGGUUCGAAUCCCCCCCUCUCCG